Non-coding RNA from Lipotes vexillifer (Yangtze River dolphin), 82 nucleotides. The record is from the annotation of a RefSeq genome assembly. NCBI's taxonomy places the organism in Eukaryota, Metazoa, Chordata, Mammalia, Artiodactyla, Lipotidae.
GUAGUUGUAGCCGAGUGGUUAAGGCGAUGGAUUAGAAAUCCAUUGGGGUGUCCCCGCGCAGGUUCGAGUCCUGCUGACUAUG